UUAAAUCAGGAUGGAUAUUUUUUGGACUGAUGGGAAGAAAAGGAAAUACACAAACUGGGGCUAUUCUAAACAUACCCGUCGUCAAGGGACCUUUUAUCAAAGAUGGAAUGAGGAACAGUGUGUUGUGAUGUCAGGGAAUCCUUCUCUUGGCAUUGGUAAAUGGUAUAUCAAGUCCUGCAAUGACACCAAUGGAUUUAUGUGUCAUCGCAGUCUUGGUGAGUUCAUUCUUUUUCUCUAAUUUAUUUUUCUCUAUAUGGAUUAAAAAUGUAUCAUGUAAUACCUCCUUUAAGUACCAUUCAUACAUAGCCUAUGUACAAAAACAAAAAAAGGUUUCUGGUCACAAGAUGGGGUCAUUUGUCCAGUUUGAAUGAGGAAGACUAAAUAGAAUGUGAAUGAAUAACUUAGUUUUCCUUUCUUAUAUAAGACUAGAGCUACAGAAAAAUGUAUAUAUUUAGCUAACGUAAGCUAGUAAAUGCUAAUUAAACAAUUUAGUCACUGGGUUGAGAUUAUGAUCUGCAAUACAUUGUUGUCAGUAAUAUUUGAUGUAAUCUUGAUUGUUUGAGAAAAAAUAUUCUCAUUGAGAUAAAAGAUCUCUUCUUCAAGAGAGUCCUGGCCAAGACAGCAGCAUAAAAGUGUCAAUAUAAAGAUAGAACUUGUAAAAAUUAUGCCAAUUUAUACAAAAAGAAUCUGCAAAUCCUGUGACUAUAA
Molecule: non-coding RNA, 708 nt
Organism: Labrus bergylta (ballan wrasse)
Lineage: Eukaryota; Metazoa; Chordata; Actinopteri; Labriformes; Labridae
Source: RefSeq, a predicted model, not a curated record